GACGAACGUUGGCGGCGUGCUUAAUACAUGCAAGUCAACUGAAGCAGUGGUAGCAAUAUCGCUGUGGAGGUGGCGCACGGGUGAGUAACACGUAGGUAAUCUGCCUUCAGGUCUGGCAUAACUCCGGGAAACCGGGGCUAAUAGCAGAUGAUGCAGCGGCUCGACAUCGAGACAGUUGUUAAAGCUAUGGCGCCUGAAGAUGAGCCUGCGUCUGAUUAGCUAGUUGGCGGGGUAACGGCCCACCAAGGCAACGAUCAGUAGCUGGUCUGAGAGGAUGAUCAGCCGCACUGGAACUGAGACACGGUCCAGACUCCUACGGGAGGCAGCAGUAAGGAAUAUUGCUCAAUGGGAGAAAUCCUGAAGCAGCAACGCCGCGUGAGGGACGAAGGGCUUUUGCUUGUAAACCUCUGUAGUGAGAGAAAAAAAUCCCAAUCUUUGGGACAUGAUGGUAUCUCAAAAGUAAGCCCCGGCUAACUACGUG
RNAcentral lists this ribosomal RNA (481 nucleotides) under uncultured bacterium. RNAcentral describes it as "partial 16S ribosomal RNA". It matches the Rfam family "Bacterial small subunit ribosomal RNA", at positions 28 to 507 of the family's 1533-position model. The record is from RNAcentral.